UGGGGAAUUUUGGACAAUGGGCGAAAGCCUGAUCCAGCCAUUCCGCGUGCAGGAUGAAGGCCCUCGGGUUGUAAACUGCUUUUGUACGGAACGAAAAGGCUCUGGUUAAUACCCGGGGCUCAUGACGGUACCGUAAGAAUAAGCACCGGCUAACUACGUGCCAGCAGCCGCGGUAAUACGUAGGGUGCAAGCGUUAAUCGGAAUUACUGGGCGUAAAGCGUGCGCAGGCGGUGAUGUAAGACAGAUGUGAAAUCCCCGGGCUCAACCUGGGAACUGCAUUUGUGACUGCAUCGCUGGAGUGCGGCAGAGGGGGAUGGAAUUCCGCGUGUAGCAGUGAAAUGCGUAGAUAUGCGGAGGAACACCGAUGGCGAAGGCAAUCCCCUGGGCCUGCACUGACGCUCAUGCACGAAAGCGUGGGGAGCAAACA
RNAcentral lists this ribosomal RNA (427 nucleotides) under uncultured Ramlibacter sp. RNAcentral's name for it is "bacterial SSU rRNA". It matches the Rfam family "Bacterial small subunit ribosomal RNA", at positions 355 to 774 of the family's 1533-position model. The record is from RNAcentral. Lineage: Bacteria; Pseudomonadati; Pseudomonadota; Betaproteobacteria; Burkholderiales; Comamonadaceae.